AACGAACGCUGGCGGCGUGGAUAAGACAUGCAAGUCGAACGGGACUUUUUCUGGUAGCAAUACCGGAAAAAGUCUAGUGGCGAACGGGUGCGUAACACGUGGACAAUCUGCCUUAAAGUGGGGGAUAGCUCGGCGAAAGCCGAAUUAAUACCGCAUGUGAUGAGGGAAGACAUCUUUCCGAAAUCAAAGCCGGGGCAACCUGGCGCUUUUUGAGGAGUCCGCGGCCUAUCAGCUUGUUGGUGAGGUAACGGCUCACCAAGGCUAUGACGGGUAGCUGGUCUGGGAGGACGACCAGUCACACUGGAACUGAGACACGGUCCAGACACCUACGGGUGGCAGCAGUCGAGUAAUUUUCUCAAUGGGGGAAACCCUGAAGGAGCGACGCCGCGUGGAGGAUGAAGGUCUUCGGGUUGUAAACUCCUGUCAUUUGAGAACAAGGUGCACACAGUAACUACGUGGGCAUUGAUAGUAU
RNAcentral lists this ribosomal RNA (472 nucleotides) under uncultured bacterium. RNAcentral's name for it is "bacterial SSU rRNA". It matches the Rfam family "Bacterial small subunit ribosomal RNA", at positions 29 to 478 of the family's 1533-position model. The record is from RNAcentral.